Molecule: ribosomal RNA, 276 nt
Filed under: uncultured bacterium
Lineage: Bacteria
Description: partial 16S ribosomal RNA
Rfam family: Bacterial small subunit ribosomal RNA
Source: RNAcentral
AACGAUGUUAGCUUGCUAACAGGCGUCGAGUGGCGACGGGUGAGUAACGCGUAGGAAUCUACCAAAUAGCGGGGGAUAGCCCCGGAGAAAUCCGGAUUAAUACCGCAUAAAUCUCUACGGAGUAAAGGGGGGCCUCUAUUUAUAAGCUUUCACUAUUUGAUGAGCCUGCGUAAGAUUAGCUUGUUGGUGAGGUAAAAAGCUCACCAAGGCGACGAUCUUUAGCUGGUCUGAGAGGAUAAUCAGCCACACUGGGACUGAGACACGGCCCCAGACUCC